RNAcentral lists this transfer RNA (82 nucleotides) under Actinomycetota bacterium. RNAcentral describes it as "Actinobacteria bacterium tRNA-Leu". It matches the Rfam family "tRNA". Rfam says of the family: Transfer RNA (tRNA) molecules are approximately 80 nucleotides in length. RNAcentral also lists the same sequence under 1 other name. Lineage: Bacteria; Bacillati; Actinomycetota. The record is from RNAcentral.
GCGAGAGUGGCGGAAUUGGCAGACGCGCUGGCUUUAGGUGCCAGUGUCUUCGGACGUGGGGGUUCGAGUCCCCCCUCUCGCA